UAAUAAAAAUAAAUCGUGGUUGUUACCACUUUUCGUGGUGACGCUUCGGAAUUGAGUCGUCUUACCUUCGGUUAAGUGACUUAAAAUUUUUUCAUACGAUUUCGAAACGUAUUUAAUGUAUUAUGUACGUUCACGAAUAUCGAAUGUUUAUUAGGUGCGGUCAUUUUCAUGAAUCGUGUCUAUACUUUUU
Molecule: unclassified non-coding RNA, 190 nt
Filed under: uncultured Glomus
Lineage: Eukaryota; Fungi; Glomeromycota; Glomeromycetes; Glomerales; Glomeraceae
Description: partial internal transcribed spacer 2
Source: RNAcentral